RNAcentral lists this ribosomal RNA (459 nucleotides) under Porphyromonas asaccharolytica. Its description in RNAcentral is "bacterial SSU rRNA". It matches the Rfam family "Bacterial small subunit ribosomal RNA", at positions 39 to 512 of the family's 1533-position model. The record is from RNAcentral. Lineage: Bacteria; Pseudomonadati; Bacteroidota; Bacteroidia; Bacteroidales; Porphyromonadaceae.
CUGCGUGGCUUACCUGCAGUCGAGGGGCAGCGAGAUGUAGCAUACGUCGUCGGCGACCGGCGAAUGGGUGAGUACACGUAUGCACUUACCUCUUAGUGGUGAAUAACCCGAUGAAAGUCGGACUAAUACACCAUAUACUCCUUAGAUCCCAUGAGAAGAGGAGGAAAGAUUAAUCGCUAAGAGAUGGGCCUGCGUUCCAUUAGCUAGUUGGUAAGGUAACGGCUUACCAAGGCAACGAUGGAUAGGGGGACUGAGAGGUUGACCCCCCACAUUGACACUGAGAUACGGGUCAAACUCCUACGGGAGGCAGCAGUGAGGAAUAUUGGUCAAUGGGCGAGAGCCUGAACCAGCCAAGUCGCGUGAAGGAAACUGCCCGCAGGGUUGUAAACUUCUUUGAUGGAUAAGUCCCCUACGUGGUAGGGGUUUGCAGUUACCAUACAAAUACUCGCUAAUGCCGGC